AUGGCUGCCCACUGCUCCGGGUGUGUGCUCACAGUGUGUGUGUGUGUUCACUGCUCUGUGUGUGUGCAUUUCGGAUGGGUUAAAUGCAGAGCACAUAUUCUGAGUAUGUUUCACUUUCACUUAAAGAUGUCAUUUCGCCAGUGUGUUUCUGGGUGCGGUCGAUAUAUCGCUCCUCGUGAUGGUCACGAUCGCUGUGUCAUGUGUCUGGGCUUCCAGCACGCUGAGGCUGCGUUCGUGGAUGGCUCAUGUUCUCAUUGUGGGGACAUGACCAUCUCGGCAUUGAGAUCGAGACUCGAUUAUCUUAAAAGGUAUAGAGUCCUCUCUGCUACACCCCGUUCUAGCUCUUCUUCUCGUAAGAGGGCUACUUCGGCUGGUGGCCAGGGUGAUCUGAGGGUUACCAUGUGGGCUUCCCCGACGAGCGAACCUCCUCGGGCCACACCCCCCUCACAUACACUGCAGCCGGUCGAGUUCCCGGAUGAGUUUGCUGGACCCUCUCUGGCUCCUGACAUCUCAUUCGGGGCUCGCGAAGAGGACCGUAUGUCGAUCGCCGCAUCACAAGGCGGGCUUGAGUCCUCGGGAGAUGAGGGUUCAGCUGUGUUGCCUCCCUCGGGAGUGCCAGCGUUGUCCGUGUCUGAUCCCGAGCUGACGGCCGUGCUUUCCCGGGCAGCGGAGAGCAUCGGGCUUGAGUGGAAUCCUCCACCCUGUCCCGAGCGCUCGAGGCUGGAUGAUUGGUUCCUGGGGGCUGCUCAUGCGGAUUGCCAGCACCCUCCUCUGGUUCCUUUCUUCCCGGAAGUGCACCAGGAAGUAACUAGUUCAUGGAAGGCACCUUUAACUGCCCGAAACCGUUCUGGUUCUUCCUCCGCCUUCACUGCCCUCGAUGGCGGGGCGGCCAAGGGGUAUGCUGGGAUUCCCCGGGUGGAGCGUUCUGUUGCGAUGCAACUGUGUUCACAGAGCGCCUCCGCUUGGCGUGGUGGUCCGAAGCUGCCCUCCAAGGCCUGUAAGUUCUCAUCCACACUUGUGGCCAAGGCUUACAGAGCUGCGGGCCAGGCCGCUUCUGCCCUGCAUGCCAUGGCCUCACUUCAGGUCUAUCAGGCCAAGCUGCUCCAGCAGCUGCACGAGGGCGGUGCUGACCCAGGGGUUUUUCAGGAGGCGCGCACUGCUACCGACCUCGCUCUCCGGGCUACGAAUGUCACUGCGCGCUCCUUGGGUCAGGUGAUGUCCACUUUGGUGGUCCAGGAGCACCACCUAUGGCUGAACCUGGCAGACAUGAGGGAGUCUGAUUGGGCUCAGCUCCUCAACUCCCCGGUCUCCCAGGAUGGCCUCUUCGGCGACGCGGUAGAGAGCUUUGACCAGCAGUCUGAGGCCAUCAGACACAUCUUGCCCCGGCGGCCCACUGCUGCUUCCACCCCGCCACCGGCGCAACCUCAGCCUGCUCGUCGCUGA
RNAcentral lists this long non-coding RNA (1443 nucleotides) under Carassius auratus (goldfish). RNAcentral describes it as "lncRNA (ENSCARG00000008216.1)". Lineage: Eukaryota; Metazoa; Chordata; Actinopteri; Cypriniformes; Cyprinidae. The record is from RNAcentral.